Molecule: ribosomal RNA, 402 nt
Filed under: uncultured bacterium
Lineage: Bacteria
Description: bacterial SSU rRNA
Rfam family: Bacterial small subunit ribosomal RNA
Source: RNAcentral
UAACGCGUGAGUAACCUGCCCUGGAGUGGGGGACAACAGUUGGAAACGACUGCUAAUACCGCAUAAGCCCACGGCCCGGCAUCGGGCUGAGGGAAAAGGAUUUAUUCGCUUCAGGAUGGACUCGCGUCCAAUUAGCUAGUUGGUGAGGUAACGGCCCACCAAGGCGACGAUUGGUAGCCGGACUGAGAGGUUGAACGGCCACAUUGGGACUGAGACACGGCCCAGACUCCUACGGGAGGCAGCAGUGGGGGAUAUUGCACAAUGGGGGAAACCCUGAUGCAGCGACGCCGCGUGGAGGAGGAAGGUUUUCGGAUUGUAAACUCCUGUCGUUAGGGACGAUAAUGACGGUACCUAACAAGAAAGCACCGGCUAACUACGUGCCAGCAGCCGCGGUAAAACGUA